GAACAACCACGCCUCAUAAGAGCAAGUAUAAUAGAUCUGACACAUGUAGCUAUAAACCAUUCCACAUCAGCCAAAUCACAGCUGGAGGGGAGAGAGAGGGGAACAGGCGCUUUGUCAAUCGCCCCACCGCAGCACACCACACAAGGAUUUUACGCCCCUUGCAGCCCACAGCGAGCGAUAGAGUCGGUGCUCUCGAUCCACUCUUGAUCCCCUACAUCUCUCGCCUCCCACGCCCUUCUCCUUCCUCCUUAGUGCACAAAAUCCGUGCUUCCCCCGCCACAAAUCGCUUCCUGCGGUUUCAAAAGGAUUUACCAUUUAUACGAUUCUCUGAGAACUGAUAUGUUAUAUUCUUCAGAAAGUCUAAUGCAGAUCCUUCGGCAGUGUGCUCAGAACAUUGAGCAUGUUUUCUUCAUCUCUACCUCUACCAGCACUAGUAGACAUUUCUGGUGAUUUAAGAUGCUUAGCUAUGAGUUCUCAUUUACAAGAGCAAAGAUAGGUUUCUACAAGCUAUGGGCUGCCACAAAUUCUCAUAUAACAGAGCAAAGAUUUUUAUUUUUGCGAGAGAGCAAAGACAAAUUAACAAAUAAUACUUAACUUGUUAUCUUUGACUAGAACUAAAUAAUAGAAAAAUGAAAUCACGUGCUUACAUAGAUCAAUGCUCCCCUGUCAGUCUUUUUGCAUUUCAUCAAACACCUUAUAGGCACAGAGAACAGAACCUGCACAAACAAAGCUGAGAAGCUUUGGAUUGGAAGAGGGGGUGGGG
This 763-nucleotide long non-coding RNA is filed under the name Hordeum vulgare. RNAcentral describes it as "long non-coding RNA (HVUL_LNC009252)". The record is from RNAcentral. Lineage: Eukaryota; Viridiplantae; Streptophyta; Magnoliopsida; Poales; Poaceae.